CAGUCGCCGCGGUAAUACGAAGGGGGCUAGCGUUGUUCGGAUUUACUGGGCGUAAAGCGCACGUAGGCGGAUCGAUCAGUCAGGGGUGAAAUCCCAGAGCUCAACUCUGGAACUGCCUUUGAUACUGUCGAUCUGGAGUAUGGAAGAGGUGAGUGGAAUUCCGAGUGUAGAGGUGAAAUUCGUAGAUAUUCGGAGGAACACCAGUGGCGAAGGCGGCUCACUAGUCCAUUACUGACGCUGAGGUGCGAAAGCGUGGGGAGCAAACAGGAUUAGAUACCCCUGUAGUCCCUGUCUCUUAUAC
RNAcentral lists this ribosomal RNA (301 nucleotides) under uncultured bacterium. RNAcentral describes it as "partial 16S ribosomal RNA". It matches the Rfam family "Bacterial small subunit ribosomal RNA", at positions 509 to 807 of the family's 1533-position model. The record is from RNAcentral.